This is a long non-coding RNA of Raphanus sativus (radish), 1089 nucleotides long. RefSeq lists it as uncharacterized. NCBI's taxonomy places the organism in Eukaryota, Viridiplantae, Streptophyta, Magnoliopsida, Brassicales, Brassicaceae. The transcript is spliced from 4 exons. The record is from RefSeq and is a predicted model, not a curated record.
AAGCUACAACAAAGCUAUUAUACCUUUCCGAUAUCAAGCCGUACAAACCUGAAUGGUGGGUCCAAAUCAAAGUCCUUCAUACCUGGAAACAUCGAAGUGAUUAUGGUGAGACCAUGGAAAUCGUUUUUGCUGACAAGAAGGGUAACAAAAUCCAAGCAUCAUGCAAGAAAAACUACUUGCUUAGUUUGGAAACAGAAUGCCGGGUGGGUGAAUGGAUAAACGUUGAAAAUUUUGUGCUGACUACAGCUACCGGUGGAUACCGACCUACCAAUCACCCCUAUAAGAUGUCUUUCAUGAAGUUCACCUCCAUUAUUCAUCCAUAUGAGUACAAUAAUAUCGAUAUGUUCCUGGACUUAGUGGAGUUUGAAAACAUAUUGAGUGGACAGCUAGACAAUAAUCUCUUGAUUGGUAUAUUAUUGAUUUUUCUUAUCACAGUUUCUUUGAUUAUUGUUUAUGGAUAUAACAUUCAUUUUCGUAUGUUGUGGGGCAAGCCAUAUAUAUUGGUGAGAAGUUAACUCUGCAGUGUAGUGGUGGUAAAGAAAAAAAAGAAGAUUGAAUUCACUCUCAGAGACAUAAAUGAUGAGCGCAUACCAUGUUGUCUUUGGGGUAACUUUGCUGAUACUUUGGAAUCCUAUAUAGAAGAAGCACAAUUGGGAGUGGUAGUGUUUUUGAUCCUAUUUGCAAAAAUUGGAUCUUUUAGAACUUGAUAGUAACAAACUCCAACGGUCUCACUAAUUAACCGCCAUAACGGCUCAACGGCCACAGCUCUCUCAUGCCAGUUUGCUACUCUCCUGCCACGUAAACCUUGCUUCUUGAAUGGUUCAGUUCAACAUUGGGCACUUAUCAAAUACCCCUCCUCCCCCCCCCCCCCCCCAAAGCUUCGGAAAUUGUCUCUGGUGAUUGCAGGAACAGAGCCUUUAAACGUUGCAUACCAGAAUGCUCAACGAACGCAGGACUGGAAGGCAGUGAAUCAGCACAAGGUUGCCACUAUGAAGAAUAAAACCAUACUCUUGAUCUCCUUUGCUUAAUCAUAAACUGCUGGUUGUAACAUAGUUCCAUGUAAUAUUUUAAUCGAAAACUUCACUAACC